RNAcentral lists this ribosomal RNA (460 nucleotides) under uncultured bacterium. RNAcentral describes it as "partial 16S ribosomal RNA". It matches the Rfam family "Bacterial small subunit ribosomal RNA", at positions 338 to 795 of the family's 1533-position model. The record is from RNAcentral.
CCUACGGGAGGCAGCAGUGAGGAAUAUUGGUCAAUGGACGCAAGUCUGAACCAGCCAUGCCGCGUGCAGGAAGACGGCUCUAUGAGUUGUAAACUGCUUUUGUACGAGGGUAAACGCAGAUACGCGUAUCUGUCUGAAAGUAUCGUACGAAUAAGGAUCGGCUAACUCCGUGCCAGCAGCCGCGGUAAUACGGAGGAUUCAAGCGUUAUCCGGAUUUAUUGGGUUUAAAGGGUGCGUAGGCGGUCGGAUAAGUUAGAGGUGAAAGCCCGAGGCCCAACUUCGGAAUUGCUUCUGAUACUGUUCGGCUAGAGAGUAGUUGCGGUAGGCGGAAUGUAUGGUGUAGCGGUGAAAUGCUUAGAGAUCAGACAGAACACCGAUGGCGAAGGCAGCUUACCAAGCUACGUCUGACGUUGAGGCACGAAAGCGUGGGGAGCAAACAGGAUUAGAUACCCGGGUAGUC